RNAcentral lists this ribosomal RNA (481 nucleotides) under uncultured bacterium. RNAcentral's name for it is "partial 16S ribosomal RNA". It matches the Rfam family "Bacterial small subunit ribosomal RNA", at positions 28 to 507 of the family's 1533-position model. The record is from RNAcentral.
GAUGAACGCUGGCGGCGUGCCUAACACAUGCAAGUCGAACGGAGAUUACGGACGGAAGUUUUCGGAUGGAAGACUGUAAUUCUUAGUGGCGGACGGGUGAGUAACGCGUGGGCAACCUGCCCUAUACAGGGGGAUAGCAGCUGGAAACGGCUGGUAAGACCGCAUAAGUCGGCGAGACCGCAUGGUUUUGCCGGGAAAUGAGCAAUCAGGUAUAGGAUGGGCCCGCGUCCGAUUAGCCAGUUGGCAGGGUAAAAGCCUACCAAAGCAACGAUCGGUAGCCGGACUGAGAGGUCGGACGGCCACAUUGGGACUGAGACACGGCCCAAACUCCUACGGGAGGCAGCAGUGGGGGAUAUUGCACAAUGGAGGAAACUCUGAUGCAGCGACGCCGCGUGAGUGAAGAAGUAUUUCGGUAUGUAAAGCUCUAUCAGCAGGGAAGAUGAUGACGGUACCUGGCUAAGAAGCCCCGGCUAACUACGUG